GUGCAUUCCUCCCUGAAUAAAAUCCUUGUAUAUGGCUGCUGUCUGUCCCAUGAAUGCCCAACGGUCAAACUGAGCAUUAAUUCAAUGCAUCACCCACACUGGCAGUAAUGUAUGCUACUCUCAUUCCUUACACUGCAAUAGAAUCUCUUCUAAAUCAUGUCUGCAUGCAGUUUGAUUUAUUGUGUGCCAAUUUCCUUCGCUUUUUUUCAGAAAUCUGAAUAUAAGGAUAUUUUAUCUAAUACGGCUAGCUUAUGACAAACUCUUGCCCCACAACUUAGUAUAAGAAGCUGUUCUGGGCUUGCUUCCAAAUGCCAAACCAAUCACCUCCAACAUCUUGAAAGACUUUGGCUAUACAACUCCUGUAAAUUCAGAGACCACACUCCUUGCUUUCGGCAAUGCAAU
Pelobates cultripes (western spadefoot toad) is the source of this 402-nucleotide non-coding RNA. NCBI's taxonomy places the organism in Eukaryota, Metazoa, Chordata, Amphibia, Anura, Pelobatidae. The record is from the annotation of a GenBank genome assembly.